Molecule: transfer RNA, 110 nt
Filed under: Stutzerimonas frequens
Lineage: Bacteria; Pseudomonadati; Pseudomonadota; Gammaproteobacteria; Pseudomonadales; Pseudomonadaceae
Description: tRNA-OTHER
Source: RNAcentral
GCGGGCCGAAUCGGCAGUUGGACCGACCCGCAUAGACGUCAGGCGUCGCGCUCGGCGGUCAGGUUCCAGCGCCGCAAGGUGUGAGAGUUCGAAUCUCUCCGUCCGCACCA